AUUCCUCCAGCUUCAGCACUC
RNAcentral lists this unclassified non-coding RNA (21 nucleotides) under Mus musculus (house mouse). RNAcentral describes it as "oocyte_clustered_small_RNA9324". The record is from RNAcentral. Lineage: Eukaryota; Metazoa; Chordata; Mammalia; Rodentia; Muridae.